Small nucleolar RNA from Benincasa hispida (wax gourd), 140 nucleotides. RefSeq annotates it as small nucleolar RNA snoR143. The record is from RefSeq and is a predicted model, not a curated record. NCBI's taxonomy places the organism in Eukaryota, Viridiplantae, Streptophyta, Magnoliopsida, Cucurbitales, Cucurbitaceae.
UUUUCCCGGAAAAUUAAAGUUUUCCGGGAAAGAAUAAGGGGUUUGGGCGUUCAGGCAGCGGCCAGACAACCGUAGGGAUGGUAUCCACAGAUGAUGGGUUUCUUUUAUCCCAUUUCGUCUACUGAUUCCAUCUCAUAUUU